This 72-nucleotide transfer RNA is filed under the name Verruconis gallopava. Its description in RNAcentral is "tRNA-Arg (CCG) (tRNA-Arg-CCG-1-1)". It matches the Rfam family "tRNA". Rfam says of the family: Transfer RNA (tRNA) molecules are approximately 80 nucleotides in length. Their secondary structure includes four short double-helical elements and three loops (D, anti-codon, and T loops). The record is from RNAcentral. Lineage: Eukaryota; Fungi; Ascomycota; Dothideomycetes; Venturiales; Sympoventuriaceae.
GGCACCGUGGCCUAAUGGUAAGGCGUCGCUUUCCGGUGGCGAAGAUUGUGGGUUCGAGUCCCAUCGGUGUCG